UCUCUUUGAUACAAAUUCACAUUGCCGUUAAGGUUUAGUCAGAAGAACUUUGUGUAGUAACCCAUUGGUAGUAACUAGGCUUCUGUCAUAUGUUUAAUGGCCGGCCCACUUCCCAGACUAUCUACCAUUUAAAUGUAUGUGUGUCAAAAUAUCAUGGAAAAUCUCAUGUGAAGUGUGCUUAAAGUUGUUAGUCUUCUAGCGCACCAUGAUGAUCUUCAGGUACAAUCCGUAUUCAGCUCUCAGUUUUAGCAGCUGCGAGACAGAACCAUGUGAGCUCUUCUUCUGCAUGUCCCACUCUUGCAAAGCCCAUUUUUCUGAAGAUAAUUUCAUCACUAUCACUUCUCAGCUUCUUUAAAUCCUAUUCACAAUGAUCACUUAACAUGAAACAUUUUUGAAGUCGUUAGAUUUAUAAGCCGUUUGUAUAUUACUCAACCCUGUCUCUCUCUUUAUUAUUGUUUAAAAAGUGGUUUCAGAGAAAGGAAAAUGAAUGCAAGUAAAUUACAUUUAUUUUUAUUCUGACGCUGCCUGAAUACUGAACUAUUUUCCUUCCAACAUUACAAUCCAGGGGAACUUUCACAACAUGCUAUUUAACAAGUAAUUUUUAUUUGUUGACCAACCCAGUAAUCCUAUAAUUCUAUGAAUAAUUGUCGCAUUUCAUAACAGCCUAGCUUACAUUUAAACCAAAAUAAAAAAAAUCUAAGAAACUAACAUAAUCAAGGUCAACGCAUAAUGGCGUGUUAACUCCCUUCUAACAAUCUAAGACAAAUGAUUUAACAGAAAAUGAUCCAAAUAUUCUCUCUUUUUCUUCUCCCUCUGAUCUCAGUCUUAAUCCAAAUCCAAUGCCUCACCGUUCAGUCACAACCGGUGCCGUUAAAACAAAUAUGCUCAAACGUCACAGGCAACUUCACCGUUAACACCCCUUACGCCGUCAACCUCAACCGUCUCAUCUCUUCUCUAUCAUCUCUCCGGCAUAACGACAACGGAUUCUACAACAUCUCACUCGGAGACUCAGAUGGAAAAGUCAACUCAAUCUUACACUGUAGAGGCGACGUCAAACCUGAAGAUUGCACCAACUGUCUCGCAAUGGCUGGAAAAAGACUUGUCACAUUGUGUCCGGUUCAGAAAGAGGCGGUUAUCUGGUACGACAAAUGUACGGUUAGGUACUCGAACCGGACGCUUUUCAAAAUACUUGAGAUUUAUCCUCAAACAAGCAUCUCCGGGACAAGAAACUUCACAGGAGAUCGCGACCGUUGGGAGAAAUCAUUAAGGGGUUUACUCGAAGGGCUUAAAGACAGAGUAUCCGUGAUUGGUCGGAGAAGGAAGAACUUUGUGGUCGGAGAAACGAACGGGCCAUCGUUUCAGACAUUGUACGGGAUGGUCCAGUGCACGGCGGAUAUAUCGGAACAAGAUUGCACGUAUUGUUUAUCUCAGGGUAUCGCAAAGAUUCCGAGCUGUUGUGAUAUGAAAAUGGGUAGUUAUGUCUUGUCUCCUAGCUGUAUGGUGGCUUAUGCUCCAUGGAGAUUCUAUGAUCCAGUGGACACCACUAAUGAGCCAAGCUCAGUGCCUGCUACGCCGCCAACUGGGACUCAACGGAAUGAGACGACAAGUGUUGAACAAGGGGAUAAAAACAGAGGUGUACCUCAUAAAGCUUUGAUCUUUGCUGCUGUUUCAGCUGCUGUUUUUGUCUUAUUUAUCGCAUUCUUAGUCGUUUACCUAAGAUCGAGGAAGAAGAAAUUAAAGAGGAGGACAACUAGCGAAGAGCGAAACCUUGAAGACAUUAGCACAGAUUCAAUGAGAUUUGAUUUCACUAUGUUACAAGAAGCCACAAGUCAUUUUUCAGUGGAAAACAAACUUGGAGAAGGAGGAUUUGGAGCAGUUUAUAAGGGUGUGCUUUCGGAUGGACAAGAAAUAGCGGUGAAAAGGUUGUCGGAAAAUGCACAACAAGGAGAAAUCGAAUUUAAGAACGAGUUCUUAUUGGUGGCAAAGCUUCAACAUCGUAACCUCGUCAAGCUCUUAGGCUACUCAAUAGAUGGAACUGAAAGGCUUCUCGUCUACGAGUACCUCCCACACACCAGUCUCGACAAGUUCAUCUUCGGUACCAAAUUUAUUCACUAUCACCAAUUUCUUGGAUGCUUAUUCUUGUUCUUUCUCACGUGUUUGAGUAUGUUUACAGAUCCUAUCCAUGGUAAGGAACUGGAUUGGGAAGUUAGAUACAAAAUUAUUGGAGGUGUAGCUAGGGGGCUUCUUUAUCUUCAUCAAGACUCUCGUCUCCGGAUCAUUCACCGUGAUCUUAAAGCUAGUAACAUACUGCUAGACGAGGAAAUGACCCCGAAAAUUGCAGAUUUCGGACUGGCAAGGCUAUUUGAUAUCGACCACACUACUCAACGCUACACGAAUAAGUGGAUAUAUGGCUCCGGAGUAUGUAAUGCACGGACAGUUCUCGUUUAAAACAGAUGUUUACAGUUUCGGUGUUUUGGUUCUUGAGAUCAUCAGUGGUAAGAAAAACAGCUGUUUCAGCGAUGAGGACAGCAUGGAAGGCCUCCUUACCUUCGCAUGGAAAAAUUGGAAGGAAGGUAUUGCCUUGAAUCUUGUGGACAAGGUUUUGAUGACAAUGUCAAGUCAUUCAUCGAACAUGAUC
This is an RNA transcript of Brassica rapa (field mustard), 2638 nucleotides long. It is a transcript of the gene named cysteine-rich receptor-like protein kinase 26, with no coding region annotated. Lineage: Eukaryota; Viridiplantae; Streptophyta; Magnoliopsida; Brassicales; Brassicaceae. The record is from RefSeq and is a predicted model, not a curated record.